Molecule: long non-coding RNA, 955 nt
Organism: Mastomys coucha (southern multimammate mouse)
Lineage: Eukaryota; Metazoa; Chordata; Mammalia; Rodentia; Muridae
Exons: 7
Source: RefSeq, a predicted model, not a curated record
CAGCACCCUGUGCUGGCAGAGAGAGAAAUCUGAGCCUGAGCCGCGCCAGGAGCAGGCUUUGCACAAACUAUCUGGUUUCAAGUUGCGAGUCUCCGGAGUCCCUGGGAAGGUGCCCUAGGGACAGGACUCCCUUUGCAGGGCCCUGAGGACUGAUGAGAAUCCCCCCAUCCCCAGCCACCCAGAGGAUAAGCAGGUGCCAUUGGAAACCAGAAGAAGCCAUCAGAUCUACUGGGGCUGGAGCUACAGGUAGUCGUGGAUUGCCUGAUGUGAAUUCUGGGAUGGAACUCCAGUUCUCUACAAAAGCAGCUCAACUUUAUUCAAGCCGAUGUUCUCGGAUUUCCUCUGAAGAGACACUUGGACCUUUCUGCAAGAAAUUUCUAAGUCCUCAUGGGUUCUGGCAUCCAUUGUACAAGUAGAAGAAGUGGAGCACUGAAUGGGUACCAGGACUUCCAGACAAGUUCUUUGUGUUGAGUGUUCGUGGUCACUCAGCACAGAGCAGUGAUUUCAGCAGAACCGUGCCAGAGUGGGUUCAAGGGAUUCAUCCAAGCCAGGCACAAGAGAGCAGUUGGGUGAAAACUCAAGGAGCCGCUACAAAGUCAACUGGAAAAAUGAGUCUCAACUAAGCUUCAUUAAACUGCAUCAAGUGGUCCCUGCUGCUCUCCUUCACCCCUGGUCCUCACUGAAGGCUGAUCUGCUAGCCAUGUUCUUAGAGCUUUGCACUGCAAACUCUGGUCUGAGAAAUGGAGGUGGAACAAUUUGUGAUGCUGUAUUAGUUACUUUCGUAUUGCUGUGCUGAAACAACACGACCCAAAACAACUUACAGAAGAAAGAACCUAGUGUGGCUUAUAGUUCCAGAAGAUAGUGAGGAGGGGCUCUAUUCAGCAUCCAGUGGAGGUCUUCCAACUGGACUCCUUUGUAUCUGGGACAAAUAGCAGUUGAAGAGUGACAAAGAGGC